CAGAGUUCAUGCCCUCACGGGUAGAUCUCCCACCCUUGAAUAUUUUAUACCUUUGUUGCUUUGGCGGGCCGCUUCGGCUACCGGCUUCGGCUGGUGAGUGCCCGCCAGAGGACCCCAAAUUCUUUAUUGUUAGUGUCGUCUGAGUACUAUAAAAUAGUUA
This 160-nucleotide unclassified non-coding RNA is filed under the name uncultured Helotiales. Its description in RNAcentral is "sequence contains ITS1". The record is from RNAcentral. Lineage: Eukaryota; Fungi; Ascomycota; Leotiomycetes; Helotiales.